AACGCACCUUGCGCUCCUUGGUAUUCCGAGGAGCAUGCCUGUUUGAGUGUCAUGAAAUUCUCAACUGCCUUCUCAGCAUUUAUGUUGAGGGGGUGAAGUUGGAGUUGGAGGAUAACUGCUGGCGCGACUCAGGUUGCUUGUUGGCUCCUCUUAAAUGGAUGAGCUUUUCUGAUGGAUCAUGGCUCGGUAACACUAAUGUGAUAAUCAUCUACGUUAGAUGUGAACGCCGUGAGCGGAGCGACUUUUUGAAGCUCCUACGGAAAAGGACGUCUUUUGACUUGUAACGAAAUCUGACCUCAAAUCAGGUAGGACUACCCGCUGAACUUAA
RNAcentral lists this unclassified non-coding RNA (328 nucleotides) under Pseudotomentella sp. RNAcentral describes it as "partial contains 5.8S ribosomal RNA, internal transcribed spacer 2, and large subunit ribosomal RNA". The stretch from base 1 to 52 matches the Rfam family "5.8S ribosomal RNA", at positions 103 to 154 of the family's 154-position model. The record is from RNAcentral. RNAcentral also lists the same sequence under 1 other name. Lineage: Eukaryota; Fungi; Basidiomycota; Agaricomycetes; Thelephorales; Thelephoraceae.